Molecule: ribosomal RNA, 837 nt
Filed under: Vibrio sp.
Lineage: Bacteria; Pseudomonadati; Pseudomonadota; Gammaproteobacteria; Vibrionales; Vibrionaceae
Description: bacterial SSU rRNA
Rfam family: Bacterial small subunit ribosomal RNA
Source: RNAcentral
GAUCCCUAGCUGGUCUGAGAGGAUGAUCAGCCACACUGGAACUGAGACACGGUCCAGACUCCUACGGGAGGCAGCAGUGGGGAAUAUUGCACAAUGGGCGCAAGCCUGAUGCAGCCAUGCCGCGUGUGUGAAGAAGGCCUUCGGGUUGUAAAGCACUUUCAGUCGUGAGGAAGGCGGUGUAGUUAAUAGCUGCAUCGUUUGACGUUAGCGACAGAAGAAGCACCGGCUAACUCCGUGCCAGCAGCCGCGGUAAUACGGAGGGUGCGAGCGUUAAUCGGAAUUACUGGGCGUAAAGCGCAUGCAGGUGGUUUGUUAAGUCAGAUGUGAAAGCCCGGGGCUCAACCUCGGAAUUGCAUUUGAAACUGGCAGACUAGAGUACUGUAGAGGGGGGUAGAAUUUCAGGUGUAGCGGUGAAAUGCGUAGAGAUCUGAAGGAAUACCGGUGGCGAAGGCGGCCCCCUGGACAGAUACUGACACUCAGAUGCGAAAGCGUGGGGAGCAAACAGGAUUAGAUACCCUGGUAGUCCACGCCGUAAACGAUGUCUACUUGGAGGUUGUGGCCUUGAGCCGUGGCUUUCGGAGCUAACGCGUUAAGUAGACCGCCUGGGGAGUACGGUCGCAAGAUUAAAACUCAAAUGAAUUGACGGGGGCCCGCACAAGCGGUGGAGCAUGUGGUUUAAUUCGAUGCAACGCGAAGAACCUUACCUACUCUUGACAUCCAGAGAACUUUCCAGAGAUGGAUUGGUGCCUUCGGGAACUCUGANAACAGGUGCUGCAUGGCUGUCGUCAGCUCGGGUUGUGAAAUGUUGGGUUAAGUCCCGCAACGAGCGCAACCCUU